Long non-coding RNA from Myotis davidii, 395 nucleotides. RefSeq lists it as uncharacterized. The transcript is spliced from 3 exons. Lineage: Eukaryota; Metazoa; Chordata; Mammalia; Chiroptera; Vespertilionidae. The record is from RefSeq and is a predicted model, not a curated record.
UAUGCUGCAUACAGCCUGGGAAAAGUGUACUGCUGGGCUUCUUUCUGCCUUAGAAGUCCCUCGCAGACAUGCCCAACAACAAAGGGAAAGCAGAUACAGAAAAGCUGAGUGUGUGUUGGAUGCCAGAACGCAUUGUCUGCAACACCAGAACCUUUGCUGAAACUCAUGAACUCUGUGAAGACAGACAACUGACUGAACAAAAUAUAAAUCCAGUCAGAAGUGACAAUAAAAUACUUGUCAUGGAGACAGAAGCAAUGUUUAAGAGAAGCAGCCUUCAGGAUUGAAAAGCAGUCUCACUGUCUCCUCCAAAACUCAGCGGGUGGAGAUAUCAGCCAUCUUGAUUGGUGAUGUGUUCAGUCUGGAUUUGAUCACCCCGAGUGCUUUCUGCUUAUCAG